Molecule: long non-coding RNA, 3044 nt
Organism: Pan paniscus (pygmy chimpanzee)
Lineage: Eukaryota; Metazoa; Chordata; Mammalia; Primates; Hominidae
Source: Ensembl
UGUAACUAACCUGCACAUUGUGCACAUGUACCCUAAAACUGAAAGUAUAAUAAUAAUAAAAUAAAAUAAAAAGUUUUAAAUGUAAAAAAAAAAAACAGAAAAUGUGUUUUAAUUCUGUGAGUCCUUCCCGAGUACACUUGACACUGUGAUGUGAGCUUUUCACGAAUGCACCCUUCACCAUGUCUCCUGUUAGCUCAUCCUGGUCUCCAUAAAGCUGCAUAGUUAGGAAGGUAAUCUUCUUGGUUCUCCUGACUUCUGCGUGUCAGAGAGCUACUGAAAGUGAAAGCAUCCAAGAGAGUGUAAAAUACUUUAAAGAUGUGAGAUACUACUUUAUUGUUAAUCUGUGUUGUUAAAAAAAUUCUAAAUGAUGAUGAAUAUGCUUGUUCUCCUUCUCCAGGCAAGCAAGAUGAUAAUUUGAUGUUUGAGUUAACCUGAUGAGUUUUUGUAGCUGUCAAGAGCUCUAAAAUUGAGCCAAUGAAAGCAAAAUUCAAUAGAUGAAAGCAAAAAAAUGAAGAAGACAGCAUUAAAGGAAAAGAUCAAGCUUUCUAGCAUCAUACUGGCUAUUAAUAAUGCCUUUGGCUUUGGGAUUGGGAUUUUUUGAUGUGACCAAACAGCCAUUUAUGUUCUCAGAAAACUGGAAUAGGAAUAUCCUAUGGUGGAAGAAAAGAAUGGACCAUGAUGAAAAUUUCUACACCAGAAGAGUUUAAAGAUGAAGAAAGCACCACAGAAGCAGUUCAUGUCUCACUAAGGCUAGACACUGAUGGAUCUAACGUCUCUCUUCAGAAUUUAUUGGCAUUUAACACCUAUUAUCGUCAACUCUGGAGUCCUCAGCUAAACUCCAAGAGAACAGGCAAGCUACAUAUUACCAAGUCUAGAAGCAUCCGUGUAAUAUAUCAGCCAUGAAUGAUCCAGUCUCUGACCUAUGUAUGUAUACUUACACUAACACUUCUAUAUCUAAAACAUUUAUUCAUGUCUUGCCACUUUUUAUAUUUCAACUGUAAAUGUAUAUGUGUCUUCCUUGCCAAGCCUUAUUUCAGUUUUUGAGUGGAAGAGACUAUAUAUUAUGCUGAUUGGUAUUCUCCACAACAUCAAGUAUCAUAUUCCUAAGCUUUAAGUGAAAUAGAGAAUGAUCACAUUUUAAGUUAGUAAAGGACAUACAUAGAAUUCCUUACAACAUCAUUAUGAAGCUCCAUUAUCAUGAAAUGAGCUAAAAAACUGAAAAUCUAAACCCUUAAUAUUUCAGGCUUUUCUUUUUCUGAAGUUAUUUUGUUGAUGGGGUAAAAAUCAACAUAUUGGUCUAUAGGUACACAAAUCUAAAUGUAUGCUUACUAGCUAGAAAUUCACAAACUGGACAAAAUAUGAGCAGUCAUGUUAGUAAGAAUUUCUUGCAUUGAGGUAUUAUCUUUUACAUGAGCAUCUUAAAAUAUGUAUUUUCCCCACACACUAUAUUGUAGAAGUCUCUUCCUAUGCCUAUAAAAUUUGGAACAAUUUAUAAAAUUGGCAGUUUAUAUAUAAACACACUGAUGAAGAGUUUGUGAUGCUCAAGUUUUAACUCCUCAUCCAGAGCUUUCUCCACAAGACCAUCUUUUAUUCCUUAUUUGAUACCUCAGGUCCUAUAAACCAGGGAAAGAAUGAAAGACAGCAUCAUUUGAGAAUCUGAAGGAUGGAUAACCAUCUGGCUGCUGGAUUAAGAGUUGAGAAAGGAAGAGCUGGUCAAUAAGUCAAUGAAAGGCUGUUGUCGCUGUGCCUGGCAGUGGAUAUGAGAUUAGUGGUAUAGUCACUACAAAGCUGGCAGUCAGAAAGAAGAGGUGGUUGCAGAGCAAGGAGGGCAAAGACAGCUGGAACUUGCUGGGACUUCUGUAUGCUUUCUCAGCACAUUUACCCACUAGGACCUUAACAGAGCAAUGGCUGCCUGCAUAGGGCUGCCUUCCAAACCCUGCCAUAUUUCUUUUUAGGACAAAACUGGCCAUAAAGGAAAUGGGAUUCUGGAAAGUAUAGUUCUAACUUAGCCCUUUUCGUCCUUAAAUCAAUCUUUCACUUGGGUUUCCAGCAGGUCACUGCCUCAUCUCUCCCUUACUGUUUCUCUGAAUGCUGCUUCUUAAACAAAAAUAGAUAGGGACAUGAGUGUGAAUAUAAAUAUGGAUAUGUAUCUAGAUAUAUGGAUAUGAAGAUUAAUUCUAUUUGGACUUGGAUUUGCUUAGAUAUAUUUAGAUAGAUUACAAAAUGAUUCAAACCAAUUAGGUUACUCAGCAAAUGUUAGAUUCUUUUAGUAAAUGUUAGUAGACUCUGUAAAUAGUUAAGUGGCAAUUUUAUAUAUAUCCCUUGUCUCACAAACUUACUAAUAGAUGCUAUCUUACAAUAAAACCAAAUUUCAGACGAAGUUCCAUCAAACUUAUGAUCAUUUGUUACCAAAAUGUCUCCUAAGUGGUUAUGCAAGAGUUACACAGCUUGGAGGAAAUCCAAUUUCUGCCUAGAUACAUUGAUUUUACCACCUUGUAUGAGAGGCUCACUGAAGUGAAUGCACUGAUGUUCUGACAGCGUAUCAAGUCAGGCUUAGAGUAGAAUCCUUCAUCUGAUUUCUCCAGGAAGUAGAGAAACAGGACCAAUGAGACUGUAGACUUUGGUUAUUCCACCAAUGACGUUAAACUGCUGGGCUUGUUGAACUUUUAUAUUUCACUUAUUCAAGGUGGUGAGGCUUCUAUAAUAUAUUUUAACCAUGCAUCUAUCUUGAAAAUUGUCAUUUUACCAAUUAUGAUUAACAAACACUGUGGGAUAUAUUUCAAUAAAUAUAUGUCACAUGUUAAGUAACCAUUUUGAAAAUGUUGAUUCCUGGUUAAAUGGACUUCAAAUGCUAAUAACCACACCUAAAGUGGUUAGAGUUCAUUUACACACUCACACACAUACACACACCUGUUUAUAUAAAACUAUUGUAAAGUAAAUCAACACAUAAGCAAUAGAAUUAUAAAUAAUUAAUAAACAAUCUAAGUAUAGCUAUGUAUAGCUGUAUAACCCACCAGCUGAGCUACUCUAUGUUUGGAAAGGCA